Molecule: RNA transcript, 1477 nt
Organism: Juglans microcarpa x Juglans regia
Lineage: Eukaryota; Viridiplantae; Streptophyta; Magnoliopsida; Fagales; Juglandaceae
Exons: 11
Source: RefSeq, a predicted model, not a curated record
AGAACCAUUUCUCCGCAUCUCUGUCAGCCAACCAAUUUGUUUCCCUACCGAUCACUCUCUACUCAAAUACUUCAGAAAUCAUAGCAUUUUAGUUAAAUUUGUGAAAAACUUUAUCAAAUUUAAGAAACCUAUUCUUGUUGGAGUUUGUUAUCCCUGCAGCUGUGUAAUUCCAAGAAAUGAUGUCCGUACAUGUUAGUAGUGCGUGCUUUUCUGUGUCCAUUCACAGGAGAGUUCACCGGAUAAGAGCUGUUGCUUCUGAGGACUUCGCUGCUUUGAAAUCAGCCGAAGAGAAGGUGAGUUUAGGCGCCUCUGGAUUGAAGGUCACAAAACUUGGGAUUGGAGCUUGGUCUUGGGGUGACACAAGCUAUUGGAAUAACUUUGAAUGGGACGAUAGAAAAAUGAAGGCUGCUAAGGCUGCCUUUGAUGUCAGUAUUGAUCGCGGUAUAACUUUCUUUGACACUGCUGAAGUUUAUGGCUCUCGGCUAUCAUUUGGUGCCAUAAAUUCAGAAACUCUACUUGGAAGAUUUAUCAAGGAAAGAAAAGAAAAGGAUCCAAACGUGCAUGUUGCUGUUGCAACCAAGUUUGCAGCUUUACCAUGGAGACUGGGCCGUCAGAGUGUCCUCAAUGCCCUUAAAGAUUCCCUCUGUCGCCUUGGACUAUCUUCAGUAGAUCUAUAUCAACUCCAUUGGCCUGGAGUAUGGGGAAAUGAAGGAUAUAUCAAUGGUCUUGGAGAUGCUGUUGAGCAGGGCCUUGUCAAGGCUGUCGGUGUUUCAAACUACAGUGAAAGGCGACUUCGCGAUGCAUAUGAGAAGCUCAAGACGAGAGGUAUUCCACUGGCUUCAAACCAAGUCAAUUACAGCCUCAUAUAUCGGGCACCGGAGGAUAAUGGUGUAAAGGCAACCUGUGAUGAACUCGGGAUCUCUUUGAUUGCAUAUUCACCUAUAGCUCAAGGUGUUCUUACGGGGAAGUAUACACCAGAAAAUCCACCAGCUGGUCCUCGCAGGCAGAUUUACACCCCUGAAUUUCUAACGAAGCUCCAACCUUUGCUUAACAGGCUUGGGGAAAUAGCAGAGGGCUACAGUAAAACUCCCACACAGGAGGAGUUGCCAAAAAACUUCUAGUCUGAUUAGACUGCCAAAAGCUUCUUGUAGGAAUCCCUUGUAAUUUGCGAGUGAUAAGAGUGCCUCGCAAACACAAGUAUUCUUCAAAGUAAUAAGGUUAUUCCACAAGUACACUGCAUAUCAAUAAGUUUAUCUCUGAAUCAGCAAGAAAAUCUAACCAACCAACCAAGAAACAAUUUCUACCUGAAGUCCACUUGUUGCGGACUUUAUGGAAGGUGGCCCUCAACUGGCUAAUAGCUCAGGAGAAUGUUGUGCCAAUACCAGGAGCAAAAACUGCAGAGCAAGCGGAGGAAUUUGCAGGUGCACUUGGCUGGAGACUUACUGUUGAUGAGAUAAAUGAGCUGCGUUCUUUGGCC